UUGUCUUAGUAACGGCGAGUGAAGCGACAAAAGCUCAAAUUUGAAAUCUGGCACCUUCGGUGUCCGAGUUGUAAUUUGAAGAAGGUAACUUUGGAGUUGGCUCUUGUCUAUGUUCCUUGGAACAGGACGUCACAGAGGGUGAGAAUCCCGUGCGAUGAGAUGUCCAACUCUAUGUAAAGUGCUUUCGAAGAGUCGAGUUGUUUGGGAAUGCAGCUCUAAGUGGGUGGUAAAUUCCAUCUAAAGCUAAAUAUUGGCGAGAGACCGAUAGCGAACAAGUACAGUGAUGGAAAGAUGAAAAGAACUUUGAAAAGAGAGUGAAAAAGUACGUGAAAUUGUUGAAAGGGAAGGGUUUGAGAUCAGACUUGGUAUUUUGUAUGUCUUGCUUUCGGGUGGGGCCUCUGCAGUUUACUGGGCCAGCAUCGGUUUGGACGGUAGGAUAAUGACAUUGGAAUGUGGCACUACUUCGGUGGUGUGUUAUAGACUUUGUUGAUACUGCCUGUCUAGACCGAGGACUGCGUCUUUGACUAGGAUGCUGGCAUAAUGAUCCUAAACCGCCCG
This 558-nucleotide ribosomal RNA is filed under the name Scheffersomyces cryptocercus. RNAcentral's name for it is "eukaryotic LSU rRNA". It matches the Rfam family "Eukaryotic large subunit ribosomal RNA", at positions 75 to 651 of the family's 3401-position model. The record is from RNAcentral. Lineage: Eukaryota; Fungi; Ascomycota; Pichiomycetes; Serinales; Debaryomycetaceae.